ACGCGUAGGUAACCUGCCUAUUAGCGGGGGAUAACUAUUGGAAACGAUAGCUAAUACCGCAUAAUAUUAAUUAUUGCAUGAUAAUUGAUUGAAAGAUGCAAGCGCAUCACUAGUAGAUGGACCUGCUUGUAUUAGCUAGUUGGUAAGGUAAGAGCUUACCAAGGCGACGAUACAUAGCCGACCUGAGAGGGUGAUCGGCCACACUGGGACUGAGACACGGCCCAGACUUCUACGGGAGGCAGCAGUAGGGAAUCUUCGGCAAUGGACGAAAGUCUGACCGAGCAACGCCGCGUGAGUGAAGAAGGUUUUCGGAUCGUAAAGCUCUGUUGUAAGUCAAGAACGUGUGUGAGAGUGGAAAGU
This 360-nucleotide ribosomal RNA is filed under the name Streptococcus sp. oral taxon D84. Its description in RNAcentral is "bacterial SSU rRNA". It matches the Rfam family "Bacterial small subunit ribosomal RNA", at positions 113 to 463 of the family's 1533-position model. Lineage: Bacteria; Bacillati; Bacillota; Bacilli; Lactobacillales; Streptococcaceae. The record is from RNAcentral.